GUGAGCAUCUCGGCAGCCUGAGUAUCCUGCUUCUUGGAAACCACUGUUCUGUUCAACUUUGAGCCCUUUCGCAGCCCUGCCUCUCUAUCUUCCAUUUUUUUAAAUCAAAUCAGGCAACACUCUUGAAGCAUUAAAAAAAAAAAAGACUCAAAUACCAAGUGGGGAAAAAAAUAUCACUAGAAUAAACCCAUUAUUGCAGCUAGGCGAAAUAUGCAAGGAUGUACAGAAAGCGGUGGGGGAUCAUGGGUGCCCUCAGAGGAUGUGAUUGAGUUUUCUUUUUUUUCCCCCCCAAUUUCCUUGUCUGCGGAUCUAAUCACGCUGGAAUCCCCCCAACUUUUCAGAAAGCUACCUCGUUUCUGACAGCUCCUGUUUUGUUUUAAUCUGGGCCCUGGCAAUUGCUUUCCUCCUAAGCAUCAGGGAAAGGCAGUCGUGCUGGGCCUUUGUAAGAAGGAAAGACUUUUCUUAAAAGUGUGGUUUGUUUUGAAUAGACUGUCAAAUCUUUAUUUAACUGCUUUUGAAAGUACCUUGUGGUUGCCUCUUAGAGUCCCUCCUGCAGAAGGAGACAUUUGAGAGACACUGCCUUGGGCCACACAGUUUCAGAGCAAAGAACACACCAGGGGGGUUGGCCCUGAGUUCAAGGCUCUAAAGGCAAGGCAUCUCAUACUCUCGCAGUAUCGAGCCCCCCCGCCCCCAAAUGGUGUCUAAACUCAGCUGGUCAGAAUGUGUGUCCCCUUUUGCCUGGUGGACCCAAAAGAAAAUGAAGUCUUGGUUUGAAAUAAAGACAAAGUUGUCAACGGCUCCCCACUGCCUAACAUUCAACAUCGAUACAGAACUUUUACAAAAAUCCAUCUCUCUGGUCAAGUUGUUACCUGCUCCCAAACACCUUUCUCAGGAGAAUAAACAGUUUAAAGUGAGGUAAUUGUUCCGGAUGAGGUAAUUGCGAUAAAUAGCUUUCUUCCCAGGAAAAAGAGGAUGAUAGGCAGAAAGAUUGAUUCCUUGAUAAGCACGCAGGCCAUCCCUCUCCGGAGUGCCACCAGACACGUGACUGUCAGCAAUCACUUCCUCACGUCUUCUUGCCGUUCAAUAAAAGGUUUGGGACCCGGUCAAGAAAACCAAGCUCUGGGGAAUGAAGGCUUGGAAACAAAGACUGAUGUGGGACUGGCCAGGGACUCGUCUGAAAAUCUCUUUAGAAUCUUGAUGCAUGAAUCAUACUCCGUUCCAUUUGGAGAACCAUCCAUACCCAUUUGGAGAAGGACACUGAGUGGUCACUGCUUGAGAUCAUGGUCUCUGGCUGAGGAGCAGCGUGGAAGAACUGACCUGAGAAUCAGGAUGCCAGGGUGCUGGGCCCUGACACUGCCGGGGACUGACUGUGUGGCCUGAGGCAAGUCAACAGCCCCUCCUCUGAGUUUCUUCAUCCGUAAAAUGGGGGUAUUUCACUAGAUAAGCUUAAGACCAACCCUAUUGAAGAUCCAUCAUUUUCAACUCUAGCAUAUCGUGAUCUUGAAUGCCCAGUACAAUCAAGUUGGAAAUUAAGCCACUCCUUCUGAAACUGGGACAAUUACGUAGCAAAUGCGUUGUGUUCUAGAGAAAUUAUUUUGGAUCAUAGCCGAUCUAUAAGCGUUAGCUGUAACCAAGGAAUAUUCAUUUAAGGAAGAGGCUUAGGAAAGUGUUUUUCUCGUUUUUGCUGCUUGGAUUGACUAUGACUAAAUGGCACCCCACUCCAGUACUCUUGCCUG
Molecule: long non-coding RNA, 1736 nt
Organism: Bos taurus (domestic cattle)
Lineage: Eukaryota; Metazoa; Chordata; Mammalia; Artiodactyla; Bovidae
Source: Ensembl